Hydra vulgaris (swiftwater hydra) is the source of this 344-nucleotide non-coding RNA. The record is from RefSeq and is a predicted model, not a curated record. NCBI's taxonomy places the organism in Eukaryota, Metazoa, Cnidaria, Hydrozoa, Anthoathecata, Hydridae.
AUCUAUUUACCUACUUACCAUACCUUUUUUUAAAUAACAUACAUAAUAAACUAUCAGUUAGAAACAAUUGGCCACAGAAUGUACAAAGCAAUGCCUUGUCAAUAAACUAUUUGCUGUGAUUCACAAUUUUAGGAAGAAGUUUUCAGAAAAUGAAAAAGAGGAUGGAAACAUUAAAAGAAGUAUAAAAUGUUAAGAAAAGAAAAAUGAAUAAUAAGAAAAUAAAUAAACAAAAAUAUUUUGAAACAUUUGGAAACAAAAAAAAAAGACAACAACGACAUCAAAGAAGUAAAAGAAGUAAGGAACAUUAUUAGAACCAAUUUAAAAAGAAAAAGAAUGUAUUUGAA